Molecule: long non-coding RNA, 2043 nt
Filed under: Nicotiana tabacum (common tobacco)
Lineage: Eukaryota; Viridiplantae; Streptophyta; Magnoliopsida; Solanales; Solanaceae
Description: long non-coding RNA (NTAB_LNC013108)
Source: RNAcentral
UCAGUUCAGGGUUUAAAACCCUAAUGCUGAUUGCAUGAAAAAGCUCAGUUUAGGGUUUAAAACCCUAAUGAUGGCUAAAUGGAAAAAAGUUCAUUUUUAGCGUUUAAAACCCUAAUGCUGACUAAAGGAAGAAGUUCAGUUUAGGGUUUAAAACCCUAACGCUGAUUGCAUGAAAAAGCUCAGUUUAGGGUUUAAAACCCUAAUGAUGGCUAAAUGGAAAAAAGUUCAGUUUAGGGUUUAAAACCCUAAUGCUGACUGAAUGGAAAAAAGUUCAGUUUAGGGUUUAAAACCCUAAUGUUGACUGAAAGGAAAGAGUUUAGUUUAGGGUUUAAAACCCUAAUGCUGAUUGCAUGGAAAAGCUCAGUUUAGGGUUUAAAACCCUAAUGCUGAUUGCAUGGAAAAGCUCAGUUUAGGGUUUAAAACCCUAAUGCUGAUUGCAUGGAAAAGCUCAGUUUAGGGUUUAAAACCCUAAUGCUGGCUGAAUGGAAAAAAGUUCAGAUUAGGUUUUAAAACCCUAAUGCUAAUUGCAUGGAAAAGCUCAGUUGACGGGUUUAAAACCCUAAUGCUGGCUGAAUGGAAAAAAGUUCAGUUCAGGGUUUAAAACCCUAAUGCUGAUUGCAUGGAAAAGCUCAGUUUAGGGUUUAAAACCCUAAUGCUGGCUGAAUGGAAAAAAGUUUAGUUUAGGGUUUAAAACCCUAAUGCUGACUAAAGGAAGAAGUUCAGUUUAGGGUUUAAAACCCUAAUGCUGAUUGCAUGAAAAAGCUCAGUUUAGGGUUUAAAACCCUAAUGAUGGCUAAAUGGAAAAAGUUCAUUUUUAGCGUUUAAAACCCUAAUGCUGACUAAAGGAAGAAGUUCAGUUUAGGGUUUAAAACCCUAACGCUGAUUGCAUGGAAAAGCUCAGUUUAGGGUUUAAAACCCUAAUGCUGGCUAAAUGGAAAAAAGUUCAGUUUAGGGUUUAAAACCCUAAUGCUGAUUAAAGGAAAAAGUUCAGUUUAGGUUUUAAAACCCUAAUGCUGACUGAAUGGAAAAAAGUUCAGUUUAGGGUUUAAAACCCUAAUGCUGACUAUAGGAAAAAUUCAGUUUAGGGUUUAAAACCCUAAUGAUGAUGGCAUGGAAAAGCUUAGUUUAGGGUUUAAAACCCUAAUGCUGGCUGAAUGGAAAAAAGUUCAGUUUAGGGUUUAAAACCCUAAUGCUGAUUGCAGGAAAAAGCUCAGUUUAGGGUUUAAAACCCUAAUGCUGACUAAAGGAAAAGUUCAGUUUAGGGUUUAAAACCCUAAUGCUAACUGAAAGGAAAGAGUUCAGUUUAGGGUUUAAAACCCUAAUGCUGAUUGCAUGGAAAAGCUCAUAUUAGGGUUUAAAACCCUAAUGCUGGCUGAAUGGAAAAAAGUUCAGUUUAGGGGUUUAAAACCCUAAUGCUGAUUGCAUGGAAAAGCUCUGUUUAGGGUUUAAAACCCUAAUGCUGGCUGAAUGGAAAAUGUUCAGUUUAGGGUUUAAAACCCUAAUGCUGAUUGAAUGGAAAAGCUUAGUUUAGGGUUUAAAACCCUAAUGCUGGCUGAAUGGAAAAAAGUUCAGUUCAGGGUAUAAAACCCUAAUGCUGAUUGCAUGGAAAAGCUCAGUUUAGGGUUUAAAACCCUAAUGCUGGCUGAAUGGAAAAAAGUUCAGUUAGGGUUUAUAACCCUAAUGAUGAUUAAAGGAAAAAGUUCAGUUUAGGGUUUAAAACCCUAAUGUUGACUAAAGGAAAAGUUCAGCUUAGGGUUUAAAACCCUAAUGCUGACUGAAAGGAAAGAGUUCAGUUUAGGGUUUAAAACCCUAAUACUGAUUGCAUGGAAAAGCUCAGUUUAGGGUUUAAAACCCUAAUGCUGGAUGAAUGGAAAAAAGUUCAGUUUAGGGUUUAAAACCCUAAUGUUGAUUGCAUGGAAAAAGUUCAGUUUAGGGUUUAAACCCUAAUGCUGAUUAAAGGAAAAAGUUCAGUUUAGGGUUUAAAAACCUAAUGCUGACUGAAUGGAAAAAAGUUCAGUUUAGGGUUUAAAAACCCUAAUGCUG